ACAAGCCAUGCAUGCCCGCACACCCGGGAGGCGGCGGACGGCUCAGGACAACGGUUGCACCCCCCGCGGCGGUCCCUGCUAAGCCGGACACCGCUGGCAACCCGGCGCCAAGACGUGCGCGCAAGUGCGGGCGUUGCGGG
RNAcentral lists this ribosomal RNA (140 nucleotides) under Giardia duodenalis. RNAcentral describes it as "Giardia intestinalis partial small subunit ribosomal RNA". The record is from RNAcentral. Lineage: Eukaryota; Fornicata; Diplomonadida; Hexamitidae.